RNAcentral lists this ribosomal RNA (204 nucleotides) under uncultured Glomus. RNAcentral's name for it is "partial 18S ribosomal RNA". It matches the Rfam family "Eukaryotic small subunit ribosomal RNA", at positions 546 to 750 of the family's 1831-position model. Lineage: Eukaryota; Fungi; Glomeromycota; Glomeromycetes; Glomerales; Glomeraceae. The record is from RNAcentral.
UUUUGGAGGGCAAGUCUGGUGCCAGCAGCCGCGGUAAUUCCAGCUCCAAUAGCGUAUAUUAAAGUUGCUGCAGUUAAAAAGCUCGUAGUUGAAUUUCGGGACCAUCAUGUCGGUCGUGCCUCGGUACGUACUGGCAUUGUUGGUUUCUCCCUUCUGACGAACCAUGAUGUCAUUUAUUUGGUGUUGUGGGAAUCAGACGGAGCU